RNAcentral lists this ribosomal RNA (120 nucleotides) under Microcebus murinus (gray mouse lemur). The record is from RNAcentral. Lineage: Eukaryota; Metazoa; Chordata; Mammalia; Primates; Cheirogaleidae.
GUCUACGGCCAUACCACCCUGAACAUGCUCGAUCUCGUCUGAUCUCGGAAGCUAAGCAGGGUCAGGCCUGGUUACUACUUGGAUGAGAGCAAAGGUAAGGAAAGUAUAGUUCUGGAAACU